RNAcentral lists this transfer RNA (87 nucleotides) under Pyrenochaeta sp. DS3sAY3a. It matches the Rfam family "tRNA". From Rfam's summary of the family: Transfer RNA (tRNA) molecules are approximately 80 nucleotides in length. Their secondary structure includes four short double-helical elements and three loops (D, anti-codon, and T loops). Lineage: Eukaryota; Fungi; Ascomycota; Dothideomycetes; Pleosporales; Cucurbitariaceae. The record is from Rfam by way of RNAcentral.
GGCCUAAUGGCCCAAUGGCAAGGCGCUUGACUACGAUUCACCCAAUCUGACAUCAAGAGAUUCCAGGUUCGACCCCUGGUUAGGUCA